AUGGUCUCCUCGGGCUGGACUGCGGUGAACAUCAAUGGCGAGAUUGGCCCUUACUUCCCCACAUUCUGUGGGGUCUGUCAGGGCGACCCCUUCUCUCCAUUCCUCUUCAACAUGGUUGUUGAUGCUCUGGCAGCCAUCCUAGAUAAAGCCAAGGUUGCGGGACAUAUUAGGGGCAUAGUCCCACACGUGGUAGGCGGGAAUGGGAUUUCCCUUCUCCAAUACGUAGAUGACACCAUUAUAAUGGUGGAAGGCUCAGUGAACGACAUCACAAACUUAAAGUUCCUCCUGCUCUGCUUUGAGCAAAUGUCUGGCCUCAGGAUCAACUUCGAUAAGAGUGCGGUCAUGGUCUUGGGAUGCCCCCAAGACGAGCGACAGAACUUCACGGACCACCUCAACUGCCAUCUUGGGAGCCUACCCAUGACUUAUUUGGGAAUCCCCAUUAGUGACAUGAGGCUCAUGGUGGCCGAGCUGCACCCCACGGUGGGGAAGCUUCAGCACCGCAUUGAACCAUGGCAGGGCUGA
This 522-nucleotide ribosomal RNA is filed under the name Triticum aestivum (bread wheat). RNAcentral's name for it is "partial small subunit ribosomal RNA". The record is from RNAcentral. Lineage: Eukaryota; Viridiplantae; Streptophyta; Magnoliopsida; Poales; Poaceae.